This 937-nucleotide ribosomal RNA is filed under the name uncultured Caldisericota bacterium. RNAcentral's name for it is "bacterial SSU rRNA". It matches the Rfam family "Bacterial small subunit ribosomal RNA", at positions 411 to 1343 of the family's 1533-position model. The record is from RNAcentral. Lineage: Bacteria; Pseudomonadati; Caldisericota.
AAGGCCUUCGGGUCGUAAAGCUCUUUUAUUUGGGAAGAAUGCAUAGUAAUAUGUUUGACGGUACCAUUUGAAUAAGCCCCAGCUAACUACGUGCCAGCAGCUGCGGUAAUACGUAGGGGGCAAGCGUUAUCCGGAAUCACUGGGCGUAAAGGGUCCGCAGGUGUCCCGUUAAGUUAGAUGUUAAAUCGCAAGGCUCAACCUUGCCGGCUGCAUCUAAUACUGACAGGAUAGAGGAUAGGUGACGGAAGUGGAAUUCCUGGUGGAGAGGUAAAGUCCGUAGAUAUCAGGAGGAACACCCGUGGCGUAGGCGGCUUCCGAACCUAUUCCUGACACUCAGGGACGAAAGCUAGGGGAGCAAACAGGAUUAGAUACCCUGGUAGUCCUAGCUGUAAACGAUGAAUACUAGAUAGUGGGUGCUACACCGUACUCACCGUCGUAGCUAACGCGUUAAGUAUUUCGCCUGGGAACUACGAUCGCAAGUUUGAAACUCAAAGGAAUUGACGGGUCCCCGCACAAGCAGCGAGGCAUGUGGCUUAAUUCGAUGCAACACGAAGAACCUUACCUGGACUUGACAUGUUUCUGAAAGGCCGGAGAAACCCGGUCCCUUCCAGUUUACUGGAACAGUUUCACAGGUGGUGCAUGGUUGUCGUCAGCUCGUGUCGUGAGAUGUAAGGUUAAGUCCUUAAACGAGCGUAACCUUUGUCAUUAGUUGCCACCGGUUCGGCCGAGCACUCUAAUGAGACCGCUAGCGACAAGCUAGAGGAAGAUGGAGAUGACGUCAAAUCCUCACGUCCCUUAUGUCCAGGGCCGCACACAUGCGACAAUGGUAGAGACAGCGGGUUGCGACGGGGUAACCCUGAGCUAAUCCAUAAACUCUGCCUCAGUACAGAUUCGAGGGCUGAAAUUCGACCUCGUGAAGAUGGAGUUGCUAGUAAAC